GGAGGGGCAGUCGGCGGGGGGAGGGGCAGCCGGUCGGGAGGCAUCCAGGGGGAACGGGGCCCUCCUCGCUGCCUGCCUCUUGGACAGAGCCCAGGCGGCCGGUUUCAGCUCUGAGUCCCACAGCCACCACCCUCUCUAGGCCACGGACAUGGUCCUCUUGAAGGUUUCCUGCAGCACCCACACCCCUGGACCUUAUGGCUGCUGUGCCUCCCCAGAGAGACGCUGGAGGGGGAGGCAGCCCCAGGGAGUCCUAGGGACAGAAAACGAGAGCGACCUUUCAGGCGCACCACAGAUCACGCCACUCUCCUUGUGAGAUCUGCGCUGCUGUUUGUCGCUACUUCUAGAACAAAAUCCAGAGCUGCAGCUGCCCCCAAGGUGCUGAGACCCACCCGCGCCCCCAGGCCCACUACCCAUGCCCUUGGCUCAUGGAUGCACUGAGGCAGCCUCUGGGGCUCGGGGCUCAGGCCUCAGCUGGAGCUCUGGCCUGGGGCCUUUGCACGGCGGCUGCUGCCAUCUGCUCCUCCCUGGCGCUGUGGGGCCAGCUCCUUUCUUCGAGUUCUCUCACUGGACGCAUUGCCACCUCACACGGGACCCCUGACCCUGAGCUGGCCGGGUGGGGCCAAGUGACCCCAGCACCCAGGAAGUGGGCCCCCGCCCAGAAGCUGCUGUUUGUUUCUUACUAGCACCUAAUAAGUUGGAAUGUACUUCGCAAAGCCGUGGCUUUCGUUGACUGUCGACUUGUUCAACACCGCAUCCCAGGUCUGUCUGUGCUCAAAGAAGAGUGAGUGCCUGACCAGAGGCGACCGGGGCAUCCAGGCCUGAGCCACACAGCCCUCUGUGUCACACACACGGCUGGACUUCUCUCUGGCGCGUCCUGAGGCUGGCGGGCGUCGCCUUUGCAGGUGUAUGAAUACAAUCUUCCCACCGUUACUCAGCAGGCACAGGCUCCUGGGGCUCUGCCCCUUCACUGGAUGCAGGAGAAAGAAUUCUGGGUAGGCAGGAGGGUGCCGGGCUCUGCCAGGGCCAUGUUGGCCACGGGCAGGGCAGCCCAGGCCUCUCUGGGCCUGUUUUCUGUCUCGUUUCUUCUCUCCCAAGUGUAGCAGGAUUGCAGAGUGGGGUCCUUUCCAGGUCUAAAAUCAUGUAGCCUCUUGUUUUCCUGCUGUGCAUGUGUGGGGAGGGAGAUUCAGAUGACUGUGCACAGCAGAGGUCUGCAAACGAGAAGACAGGGUGCCUUCGUCUAGGACCCAUUUGGGCUGCCACAGGCAAAAUGACACAUUUCCUGGUAAAGGUGACUGGCACGGCUAGGAUCCUGUGCCCUCAGGAACCCAGCGAGCUGGAGCUGGUGUUCAGUAGCUGAUGGCGUGGGGCUUCCCUGGCUGGGCCCAUGCAGGUUUGCUUAGGCCGGUACACUCGCGUGGGGUCCACACUGCCUGAGGCAGGCACCCCCGCGCCCCAUCCUUGUAGGUUUGUAAUAUGAGCGCCUCCUCCAAGCAGCCCGGAAGCCGGCCAGGCCCUGAAUGGGUUCUGGAGAGUCUUGCAGCCCCAUCCAGCACAUGACCCAGGACAGGGCCACCCAGCUGUCCUCCCCAGCCCCAUCCAGCACCCAACCCCACCCUGCAUCAGCUGCUCUCCUUGGAACCAAGCUUGCGGGGUGGGGCAAAGGUGACCCCAGCACGCAGCACGGUGCCAGGCAUGGAACUGACACGUGAUGCCCGUCUGUUUAACGAGUGAACAAAGGCACCAGAGGCUUUCUUCCCUUGAACACCAAUCUUCCAACCUAGAUUAGCAGCCGAGCGAGAGGUGGCGUCUGAACAGCCUAGAUUAGAGGCCGAGCGAGAGGCGGCGUCUGAACAGCACCCUGGGAUCAGGCAGCGCACGCUUCCCACAUGUGUCUUGCUCGUUCACUAAACAAAUAUUUGUGCUUGGCACCAGUUGAUAUGUUGGCAUUGUGUUUCAUCUGAUUGUGUGUUAUUUAAAAAACUCCUAUUACUAAAUCCAUUAAGCAACCAAACUGCUAGAGUCACUAGAUUAAAAUGCAUGACACACAACUACAGGAAAAUGUCAGGAAAUGCAAAUCUAGGCAGGCGUCCUCAGACAUAUCAGCUAUGAGGAAACUCUCUCUAGGAGAUCUGUGUUUUCCUCCCAAAAGAAGAUCAUCUUUCCAGAAAAAGAGGAUUUUACAGUCAAUUUGCUAACAUAAUAUAAAUUUGUCUCCUUCCGGGGACUUAUAUAUGUUAGUACAUAAUUGGUGUCUUUAUUGAUGGCUGUAAGAACCAAUACCUCCAAAAUAAACAGAAUUUGUACAAUAGUAAAGCCAUUUAAAAAGGCAUGCUCCACUUUAUAGAAUAUAACUUAUUAAUCACAUUUUGAAAGAAUAGAAAUGCAUUCACUCUUAAGAUUGCAAGCUGAGCAUAUGCUGAAGUCUUUCCCCAUAUGCACAUCAAACUGUGAAAUGAUAGGAAAAAAUAGUAAACAUAUGGAGAGGCAUCUGGAAAAACAAAGAACAGGAAUUCUCUGAGAAUCAGCAGCUCUCAGGAAACCCGGACAGGUUCCAUUAAAGAUGCAGCUGCCGUUCCAAUAUUCGCCCACUCCUGGACUGGCUCAUGGGAGCACACAGCCACUCCAGGAGUUCCACGCCAGGGAGGAAGGCAGGCAGGUGCAUCCUGGAGAGCACACGGGAGUUCCCCAGGUCCCAGUAGAAGGGGCUGGCUUUCCAACUGCUACCGAUCCCCUUACCCAGGCUGGGAAGCUGGCAGAGGGGUCAGGACCAGGCAGAGCAGCAAUUGGGCCAGGGAGAGGAGGCCGCGCCAGAGAUGUGCUGGGGAGGCCUGAGCCAGCCCAGAGAGCAAGGUUCAGAGGUCAGAGGCCACUCAUCUCCCACUCUCCCUGGGAUAACCCAGAACUCAAGCCCCAAAAGGUGACUUUUCUGGCAGGCUGUGUACGGGGGAAUAACUACCUCAAAGACGACCCCACAGUCAAAUAUAGUCAGACGUCUGAAGCAUCAACGCCAUGAAGACAAGAUUACCAAAGAAUUUGCACUUGAGAAAACUGAGCUAAUAGCACCACCGAAACAGAACAUUUAAAGUGUAAGCAAUAGCCUCAGAGAGCCAAAAGGAACAUGCAGUAUCUGCGACUCAGGAAUGGAAAGUUAUGAGUAAGAACCAAUUAGAAAUACAGGAAAUUAAGGAUACAUUUGUUGAAACUUAAAAAUUCAAAUUAUGCUUUGAAUUUUAGAAUGAAUAUAACAGCACUGUGAGUAAAUGAGCUUUAAAAACAAGCAGAGAGAUUUUUCCAGAAUGUCAGAAAUCUAGAUGGUGUUAAAGUUGAAAGACAUGAAAGAUUAACUGAACACACAUGUUCGCUCUGGCUCUUGGAGGAAAGCGUGGAGAAGUUAGAACGCCAGCCCAUGGAGGGAUGGUGCAGCUGUAGGCACUUCCUCUGCACUUUGACAGGAAUACAUUUGCGAGGUGUUUACCGAUGGUCUUCGUCCCCACCCCACUCACCUAAUUCUCUAACGUAAGAGGCCUCCGAAGUGAUCACGCGUAUGUCCCAGUACCAAUGUUGCAGGCUCUGGAGAGGAGUGUGCCCCGCUGGGAGGGACAUUGACGCCCACUAAACAUGGACACCUGGGCCACUGCGCUGGCACCGGGAGAGGCAGCGUGUUUAUGGUUGAUUGACAGGAAGUUUGGUUGGAGCACAGUUUUGCUAUCCUCUUCAAACACACACAAAGAGGUGCGUGGGGCACAGGUCAGCACUGGGUGGACGUGGUGGCUUGUUUUGGGUCAACUGGGUCAGCUGGGAGGGUGGUGAAAGAGUAAUUUUGCAUGGAAUCUGCAGGCAGACGUGGGGCGGCAGUCGAGACCCUCCAGCAGGGCAGGGCAGAGCACCCCACAGGUUCCCGUGGGCCUCACUGUCCCUCGCAGCCUCCAGCUCCUCUUCCCAGCGGUGCCCUAGGCUCACCAACAGAGCUUUGGCUGAAAACUGCGGAGGCCACAGCCACACAGAGCACAGCCUCCCUCAGGCUUCCCUUGAGCUCCUGCUUCACCUGAGAGCUGGGGACACCUUGGAUUCUCAUCCUGGCUGGAAGCACCGUGUCUGUCCCCAGCUUUCCUCCCAGACCUCCACGCCCAGCUCCACAACUCCUGUAGCAAAGACCUCACCCAGUAACACGGAUUGAUUAGGGACUGCUCUCCACACUCCCAUGGACCCCUGAGUAAGACACCAACAAGUACUUGUUGAUGGUCUAGCUUGAAAGGCACUGUGCGAAGAGCUGGGAACUCAGAAAAGGGCCAGAUGACGCUUCUGUCUUUAAGGAGUUUGUCCUUUAUUAUGCUCAUGGUCCAAAGGCUCUGCUAGGAUGGGUACGAAGAACUCCUUUUCCUGUUCCACGAUUGUCCAUGCUGUCAGGGCUGCUGCUGUCAUAUUCUGUAAAAGCUGCUCAUGCACCCAUUGCUGGCAAGGACUUAGAGAAGCUGGAGCUCUCAUCACUCAUGGGACUGUGGGUCACUGCCAUUGCUUUGGAGCUCCUUUCUAGUCUCCACUACAACUGAACCUUUAGUAAAUGGACACCCUGCGGUCCAGCAGCUCCACACCUAGAAACCAUGCUCACAGGAAUUUUCCUGGGAGUGCUGCCCUCCUCACAGCCAAAACCUGCUGGAAGCCACAUGGAUGCCCAUCAAUAGUAGAGGGAUGCCUUCUGUAUCCUCCACAGUGAGAAUCCACACCUACACCCACAGGCAGGAACACGCACAAAUCACACACAGGAAACAGCAAGAAUCCACACCUGCUAGCGGGAACACAUGGAAAUCAUACCCAGGAAACAGAAUCCACACCUGCAGGCAGGAACACGCACAAAUCUCACCCAGGAAACAGUGAGAAUCCACACCUGCAGGCGGGAACACGCACAAAUCACACACAGGAAACAGCGAGAAUCCACACGUACACCUGCAGGCAGGAACACGUGGAAAUCACACACAGGAAACAGUGAGCAUCCACACCUGCAGGUGGGAACAUGCGGAAAUCACACACAGGAAACAGUGAGAAUCCACACCUGUUGGCGGGAACACGCAGAAAUCACACCCAGGAAACAGGAAGAAUCCACACCUGCAGGCAGGAACACGUGGAAAUCACACAACAGGAAGCAGCAAGAAUCCAUGCCUAUACUUGCAGGCAGGAACACACACAAAUCACACACAGGAAACAGUGAGAAUCCACACCUGCAGGUGGGAACACACGCAAAUCAUACAGACGAAACAGUGAGAAUCCACGCCUACACCUGCAGGCAGGAACACGCGUAAAUCACACACAGGAAACAGCGAGAAUCCACACCUGCUGGUGGGAACAUGCAUAAAUCACACACAGGCAACAGUGAGAAUUCACAUUUGCAGGCAGCAACAAGUGUAAAUCACACAUAGGAAACAGCGAGGAAGAGACCAGAGGCACACGGAUCAUAUUGUUCGAUUCUGUCUACAGAAAGUUCAAAAUCAGAAAAAACUGAUCUGCAACAUCAGAAAUCAGGCUGCUCCAGGUGGGAGACAGGGGCACACGGUGACACUCCGGGGAAGGGACCAGCUCCCGGUGGCAUCAGGCUUCCUCGCGCAGGUGCUCGGCUGUGUGCUUUGAGAGCUUCGCAUUGUGCACUCAAGAUUCAUGCUCUUUCCUCUUCAAACACAAAAGUGUAUUUCCCUGAAGUUACCCCUCUUUUUCUAAUCUUUUUAUUUCGUGCCCUAAAAAUGUGUUGUCUUGUCAUCAUCCUCUAGUACCCAGUCAGAGUGAACAGGCACAUCUCCGCAGUUCUCUUUGUGUUUUUCAUGAUAGAGGGCAUUGUGCGCUCAGGAUCUUCACAGAGAUCUUUUGAUGGUGGUGGUGGUAAAAGGAAAACCUUAGACAAAUUAAAUUGAACAGAGUUUAAUUCAGCAAAGAACACUUCAUGAACCAGGCAGCUCAGAACCUUCAGAAAGACUCCAGCAUAGCCACGUGGUCAAGAUGGUUUAUGGACAGAAAAAGGAAAAUGAGGCAUAGAAUGCAGGGGUGAGGUACCGAAACUGCCAGAUUGGUUACAGCUCUGCAUUUCCCUUAUUUGAACACAGUUUGAACAGUGGGCCAUCUUUGAUUGGCCAAAACUUGGUGAUUGGCACAAGAGUAGGUUACAGUCUGUUUACAGAUCCAGUUAGGUUACAGUGCACUAUGUAGAGAGAAACUUUUCAAAUAAGAAAAGAGGCAACUUUAGGCUAACUUAACAGUGGUGAUAGUGAUCAUGAUGAUGUUGGUAGUGGUGAUGAUGAUGGUGAUGGUGAUGAUGGAGAUGGUGGUGAUGGUGGUGUUGGUGUCAGUGAUGGUGAUAGUGAUAGUGAUGAUGAUGGUAAUCAUGGUGGUGGUGAUGAUGGUGAUGAUGUUGGUUAUGAUGAUGAUGGUGAUAGUGAUAUGGUGAUGGUGAUGAUGAUGAUGAUGGUGGUGAUGGUGCUGAUGGUGCUGAUGGUAAUGGUGAUGGUGAUGAUGGGGAUGAGGGUGAUGGUGGUGGUGGUGAUGGUGAUGCUGAUGGUGAUAGUGAUGGUGAUGAUAGUGAUGAUGAUGGUGGUGAUGAUGAUAUUUAUCUCAGUGCAUGUGACAAAAAUGAAUUGAGAAUACUAAUGUGUUUGAAUUAUUAGAUAAAAGAUAUAAUUAAAAUUCAAAAUAGUGUUAUUUUAUGCCAUGCUCCCAGCUCUAGCUGGAUUUCUGAAUUACAAUUUGGAUCAGCAAUGCAAGAAGAAUUAUGGCACUCUUUGGGAAAACCACAGUAUGCCCUUUUCCUACUGCUGGUCACUUUUAUUUGUAAACACUUAGCAACAACUGGAAAGGAUUUUAGACAGUGAAGCACCUCCUGCGACCCCCUUUUCAUGAGUACAUGAGAAUUCUUCCCUAGGGAUGUCACUGUCAAACACAGACAAACACAUACCCACGGCGACAGCCAAGGAACACCUCCCUCAUUUCCAUUUUCCACUUGGUUAUCCAGAGGGUUAGAAAGAAAGGCGAGGACAAGACCAGAGUGACAGCCCAGAAGCCAUGCUCCUGUCAGCACUUCCCAAGCCACAGGCUGCUUUGUGUGUCUGGGCCCAUUUGCAUGGGGAGAUGGGGCUGGGUUUUGUUUGCAGCAGAUACUGGGGGAGCAUAACCAGAGGCAGACAGCAAGGCCACAGCCACAGCAACGGCCCGCCGGAGCCACAGGAGGGGCUGCUGAUUCCGGAACUGCAGAAGGUGCCUGCCACCAGCUUCCUGUGGCCCUGAACCAGCAUCUUCACUCACCGUCGGACGUCCUACCGCUCGGCUUACCUUCCCGGCUCAUGCAGCGAUCCACGGAGGCCGGGCUACCGAUGAAACCUCACCCACCCCAGAGCUCACCUCCUUUACUUUGGGAAAUGGCGGCAGUUCCAUCAGCUUCUGGAGAAACAAAGAGAACUCAGGUGAAGUGUGGAGCCAAGAGCCCAGAGAACCCAGCCACCAGCUCCCUUUCUUCAGACAUCUCGGCUUCCCUGGGACUGAGGCCAGCGUGAGCUGGAGAUGUUCUCAAGGCCGCGUUAAUCCUUCUCAGAGGCAGCAGUGGAGGGGGCAACGUGGGCUCGACCCAGCAACCAGCUCAUCCAGCCCCUCCCGUUUCCUUCCUGCUCUCCUGAAUCUGCCCUUCCUUUAAAGCCGGCACAGGCCAGGCUGGGCUCCAGACGCUGUCCCAGGUGAGCCACGGGGUGUCUGGUGGCGAUGCCAUGGUCUCAGGCUGCCGGGGUCCUCUGUGUGGCCCGCUUUCGCCCAGAUCACUCACGGCACACCCUGCCUGGCAGGAAAGAGGGGCCCUGCUGCCCCACCCCCAUCUCUGACAAAGACGCAGGAAUCCUUGCGGGCAUGCAGACCCAGCACCACUAGGGAAGGCGACACCUCACUGCAGGGACUGCAGGGGACUUGGGCUCAGGGAAGCCCACCGUGGUCUGCCCGGGAGGAAGACUGAGGGAGGCCUCAGCUGCUGUCUGGCCACACCCCUGGGGGCAGAUUGCUUCUGGGCUACACCCGUGGCCACAUGCAGCCUCCUCCCCACUCCCCACACACACCUGUGUGCACACAAGCGGCUCCACCCUCUGUGGCCAGCUCAGGAUACCCCCUGGGGGUGACAGGGUCCCUAGGUGUAGCCCCACGUGGCAGAACAGCCGCAAGGAGCUGAGCACACGAGCCCAGGGGAGUUUGGUGCAGAGGCCGAGGUAGAGACCUUGUGGGGAGAAAUCUUACCAGCCAGAGCGAGGGCCGUGCCAGGCCGGGCCUGCCUAGACUGCAGCCUGCCCCAGCACUCGCCUGAGACCUGGAGCUGAACUCCAGCCACACCCGAAUGUAAAAGGCCAGGGUUAGGGUUAGGGUUAGCCAGCCUGCGGGAAAAUCUCUUCUGCGUUAAUGCUAAGAAAACACAAAACCCAGCUUGCACUGGGAGCCCAGCCAGCCCAGGACAGACCACAUGCCCUGCGGGGGCUGAGCAGCAUCCACCCACCUGGAGGCAAUUGGGGCAGAAGGCCCUAAUUACACACGACACGUGGGACCCUCAGCUGCAGGUUUUCUGACUCCUCCCAGACAGCCAAGACCUGCUCCAGACCCCAUGCCCACCUGGGUAAGCAUGCAGUCCUCACCCUGGGGGGGCAGGGAGGGAACACCCCCACUCCACCACCUGGCAGCCUCACACCUACCCAGCCCAGCCCCGAUGACAGGAUCAGGACACCUGGCUGGGUCCCCAGCCUCUCGGUGUCUGCUUUUUCUUGAAGCCCAACAUUGUCCAGGCCAGGUGCUGACACAGCGGCGGGAACAGAACCCGCCCUGGCACGGACAGCAGGCAGCCCGCAAUGAGGUUAGUGGGAAUCUCACCCUGGGGUCACAGAACUGGGGCAGCCAGCCUUGCCAAAGAGGAGCUGGAGGCUCCUGGUGUAGGGGCCUCCCCUCCUCCCAGCCCGAGAUGAGACCACCAGGAGGGGAGGCAUGGACCGUAUUCCUGGCAACAGGUCCAGGGGACACCCGGUGAGGGGCAGGCCCCCCGCCCCGCCCCAACAGAUGCUCCUGGGCCUUCUGGAGGAGGGUGCAGAACUCAAGGGCAGUGGCCACUGCUUUGCUGCCUUCGUGUGAGGCCGUGAGGUCUACUCGUGAAGCCCACUCAGUUGACGGCCACAUGUCCCACCUGAGGUGCAAGUGUUUCCUUGGUGAGAGCUUGUGGCUGUGACCCCCACAAGGAAGCAUGGUGCCACCGUUCCUGCAUAAGAAACAGCUGAGUGCAUACCAGACCCCGAAUAUGAUUCCACCAAGGCAGCCAGCCCCAUCUCCACGCCAGGCCCUCUCCUGUCCUGCCUGGCCAUGCUCUGACCUCUCAUGCCCAGUCUGGCUCCUGUCCGCUCGUCCAUGGCUGCCUGGAUCCCGGGCCCCUUGUCCCUGAGCUGUGUCCCCUUCUUCCUCAUCGGGAGAGGUCCACUCGCCUGCCUUUGGGGUCUCUACUGCCCGGUGAGGUCUGGGAUGCUGCAUCCUGGCUCCUGAUUUAUGCCACACAGCCACACCGUCACCUCAUCGCACGGUGUUAUGGAGACUCUGCAUUAGCAGUGAAGAUGUAACACGUGCAAGGCCCUGGAACUAGAAAAUGGGGCAGGAGGAAUCCUACAGGGGACACCCGAAAGCCCAGCACCCGCAGUAAACUUCUGCUCCUCACAGCCAGCCUGGGAGGGACGUCGACAAGGACACCGUGCUGUGGGGCAGAGGCACCAGCCUCGCUGCUGGACUGGCCCUGGGGAGGCUGGUCCCACCAUGCAUGGUGAGAAUAAAAAUCCUGUCCUCCAAAUUCAAGAAAGGACACACCUGACGGUUCUUUGGCCUUAGAAGCUGUGAACAAGUAAAACACAAAGGUGACUUAAGCCCCGUCCCAAUGGGUCAGCGACGACACUUCAGAAGCUUCUGAAAGGUGGGACCUUGCCCUUACCAGAGCGCCCUGCAGGGAUCACGCCCCCCUUGCUUCUGAACCUUUGCUGGUUCUGGACUCCACGCUUCCUCAAAGGCUGGGCAAUAUCUGCUUUUCGCUGUGUUCAGAGACCGUGCCUUGGAGAUACAGCUCUCUACUGUGCAAGUAAUAAUUCCCCUUCAUUUCAGAUGCUGGAAUUGAUUUCCUCCUUCCACAAUGGCGGGGGGAGGCCAGCCAGGUCACACUUUCCCAGGAGCCAGGCCAGCUGAUGGACCCAGGAAGCUGGAGUUGGAGGGCAGCGGAGCCCCACAGGCUCUUCUGUGCACUGGGAGCAGGGCCCCUGGCUGAGCCAGCAGGACAGGAUGGGCUCCAACCUUAGGGAACAGGUCUGGCCCAAACAAGCAGGUGGCUAAGAGCCUGGUUACACCAGGGGCACAGGGGACAGCUGCAGCUUGAGUGGGAAGGACACUGGGCCGGGCUGGACUGGGGAGAAGAGCAGAGGAGGUUCUUCGUCUGUUCUGGGAAUGGAGCCCAGUGUACCUCCAGGGUGCAUGCCAGACCCAAGCUGGGGCAGGCAGGUGCACGGAGGCCGAGCUGGCCAGCCUGUUUGCAGGCACAGGGUUCCCCACUCCAGGUCCAAUCCAGGAGCCAGCUACGAGCCCCCUGUUUAUUCCAAACAAUUUAACAUAGAUUGCAACUCCAGGUUAAAAAAAAAAAAGUAUUUUGCAAUUAGUCACAACAGAGCCAUCCUAUAGACAAAAAAAACCCAUAGUUGAAAUGCUAGAUAAAUACUAUUUUCUAAGAGACUCUUUCUUCUCAGCCACACCAAGUGAGAGCAAUUCAGGUGCUGGACCUCAAGCCUCAGAGAGGAUUCUGCUUUUCCUGUAAGUUCAGGGAUCUUCUGUCACCUCCCCACAAUGUCGAUCCACAGAGCUGCAUACAGCAGCUCAGGCCUGGCACACAUCGGGCCGGCCUCCUGUCUUCAAGACUCCAUCAUCACCUCCUCCGGGGACCUGUCCCAAGCAGCCCCAGGUCUGUCCUCCUAGGGCCCACAGCCACUUGAGGUACAGCGUCCGCGCAGCUUCCUCACUGUUCCUGCCAGACAGCCAGCGCCGUCCCGACAUGACCAGUGCCCAGCAUGGCCUGGCACAGCCCAGAGGCACUGUCCAUGCUGCUGGGCACGGAUGUCACCAAUGGCUGGGUGGGCUGCACGGCCCUGAAGGCAAAGUUCCAGGGUUGAGAACAAAUAUUUAAAAAAGGAAACCAUAUCUGGAGCCUACUAAGAUUCAAAAAGCUUCAUUUUACUCCAUCUUCUUUCCAUCUAACUUGGAAAGUACUGAUUUAGGUCUGCAGACACCGGGUAGAAUGUUUCACAAACCCUAUAAGAUUUCAGUGAAGUCUCAUGUGGAACAAUCUAUGCAGGCCUUUUCUAAAUGCCACUGGCGUGAAGGAAGAGCACCUGAUCUAUGCAGGCCUUUUCUAAAUGCCCUUGAGGUGAAGCGUCUGUCACUUGUGAAUGCUCAAUCAUUUCACAUUCUAUUUCUCUCUCCUCCCCUUUCCCACCCCCACCCCUCAAAAAUUAUGAAUUUGCGUUUUUAUUCUAGGCAAAAAAUAAAUAAAUAAAU
RNAcentral lists this long non-coding RNA (11568 nucleotides) under Homo sapiens (human). RNAcentral's name for it is "HSALNT0338746". Lineage: Eukaryota; Metazoa; Chordata; Mammalia; Primates; Hominidae. The record is from RNAcentral.